GACAGAGGUGCCAAGCGUUAGGCGGAAUCACUGGGCUUAAAGCGUGUGUAGGCGGAUUUUUAAGUACCUUGUGAAAUCCCACAGCUCAACUGUGGAACUGCUCGGUAUACUGGGAAUCUUGAGCCACUUAGGGGCUGUCGGAACAAACGGUGGAGCGGUGAAAUGCGUAGAUAUCGUUUGGAACGCCAAAGGUGAAAACAGACAGCUGGGAGUGUGCUGACGCUGAGACACGAAAGCCAGGGGAGCGAACGGGAUUAGAUACCCCGGUAGUCCUGGCCCUAAACGAUGUCGACUAGAUCGUGGUAGCUCUGACGUUAUCACGGUCGAAGCAAAAGUGCUAAGUCGACCGCCUGGGAAGUACGGUCGCAAGGCUAAA
This 376-nucleotide ribosomal RNA is filed under the name uncultured bacterium. Its description in RNAcentral is "bacterial SSU rRNA". It matches the Rfam family "Bacterial small subunit ribosomal RNA", at positions 524 to 898 of the family's 1533-position model. The record is from RNAcentral.